AAGUCGUAACAAGGUUUCCGUAGGUGAACCUGCGGAAGGAUCAUUACCAAUUAAUCCAAAAAACACUCAACCCAUGUGCACGAUGACUGAAAUGUCUGUUCUUGGGGUGGAGCUUUCAAGUUUCACCCCAUAUUUAUUCAACCCUUUGUAUUUUACUUGGCAUCUUGUCUUUUUAAAUAAAAACAAAGGACAACUUUUAACGGUGGAUCUCUUGGCUCGUGGAUCGAUG
Molecule: unclassified non-coding RNA, 229 nt
Filed under: fungal sp.
Lineage: Eukaryota; Fungi
Description: partial internal transcribed spacer region
Rfam family: Eukaryotic small subunit ribosomal RNA (bases 1-46)
Source: RNAcentral